GGCUUAGGUUUCAGUUUCCCUAGCUGAGGGGAUUCUAAUGACUUAGGACACCAUUUGCUCUCUUGGUUAUUUUGCUUAGGAAGGAUAGGUACUUGCAGGGGCCAAUGAAGGGCAAAGUAAAAAUAACUAUCCUGAACUACAGAUACACAAUUUAAACAGCAUUCAAAAUGUUCUUCUAAAAAAAAAAAAGGAGUACACGGAAUUUGGCCUGUCACAGAACAAAGAAAAUACCAGCUUCAGGUGGACAGUACCCCAGUUCCGUUCUGACAGCUUCUUGGCAACUGUUAAUAUGUAUCGAGCUUGAAUGGAUGGGUAGGAGGGAGGACCGGAGGGGAAACCGCAGAAGAAUGGGGGCAGAAGAGGAGAGGGAGGGACGUGGAGGAGCCCAGGGAUCCACACUGCUCAGCUGCUUCUGGGUUUACCGUGCAGCGCGAGCGCCAUCAUGUGCUCAUCUCUCUAACUUCAGCGGAAGAAACGCGUUUUUCCCCGCCACUGCAUUUGAGGAAUGGAAAAAUAAACCAAAAUCGUUCAUCGGGCCUGAGAAACCUUGAGAAGCAUAUUACCCUACGGUUGUUUUUUCAUCGAAAAGUUGAAGGAUUUCUGACAUCUCAAUUAGUAACGCAUCUGGAAUGUUUGCUCUCCAGGAAUAGAUGUACCCACCAAAAGCCUUGCUUGCAGCCACCUCCACGUCUCUCAACCUGCCUGAGUCCAGGGCUUAUGUUACAAGGAAUUCUCAAAGCUGUGUUAUCAAAGCUGUGAAAUCAAAGUCUCUACCCCUCUGAAGUUUACCCGGAUGGCCUGACUCAUCCCAGAGAUGGACUCCAAACCUCCCACUUUGCCUGGAAACCUUCAGAAUCUGGCUCCAACCCACCUAUUAUCUGAGGGUCAAGUCCUGCAUCAGAUUGUAUUUUCCAAUGUUGGCUGCAACAAGAUCUCGAUGUGAUCUUGACGUUCCUCCCAUAGAGUGGUGGAGUCUACAUCCCCUCUCCUGGAGACUGAGUGGAGCUUUGUGACUGCUGCAGCCAUUGGAGUAUGGCAGAAGUGCUGUUAUGUCACUUAUGAGAUUGGAUCAUAAAAAUGCCACACACUUCCUUCCUCUCUUGGAAUGCUGAGGCCAUGUUGUGAGGAAGUCCAAUGAGCCCCUGUGGAAAGACCAUAUAGAAUGACUACUUUGAGAUGUUCCAGCUUACAGCCCUGCUUGGCCCUAGCCAACAGCCAGCAUCUUUCACCAGACAUAUGAGUGACGACCCUCCAGAUGAUUCCAGCUUCCAGCCAGUGAAUCACAUCUAGCUUUCAAGUCUUCCUAGCCGAGGCCCCAGGCAUUGUGAAGCAGAGGUAAGUAAUUCCUCUCACGCCCUGUCCAAAUUCUGGACCCACAGAAUCUGUGAGCAUCAUAAAGUGGAUGAUUUUUGUCAUCAGAUCUUGGG
Pan troglodytes (chimpanzee) is the source of this 1427-nucleotide long non-coding RNA. RefSeq lists it as uncharacterized. The transcript is spliced from 3 exons. Lineage: Eukaryota; Metazoa; Chordata; Mammalia; Primates; Hominidae. The record is from RefSeq and is a predicted model, not a curated record.